UACGUAGGGUGCAAGCGUUGUCCGGAAUUAUUGGGCGUAAAGAGCUCGUAGGCGGUUUGUCGCGUCUGCUGUGAAAACUGGAGGCUCAACCUCCAGCCUGCAGUGGGUACGGGCAGACUAGAGUGCGGUAGGGGAGAUUGGAAUUCCUGGUGUAGCGGUGGAAUGCGCAGAUAUCAGGAGGAACACCGGUGGCGAAGGCGGGUCUCUGGGCCGUUACUGACGCUGAGGAGCGAAAGCGUGGGGAGCGAACAGG
RNAcentral lists this ribosomal RNA (253 nucleotides) under uncultured bacterium. RNAcentral's name for it is "partial 16S ribosomal RNA". It matches the Rfam family "Bacterial small subunit ribosomal RNA", at positions 524 to 776 of the family's 1533-position model. The record is from RNAcentral.